GAUGGUCUACUGUUACAGGAAGAUCGCAGCAGCUGGAGAGGAAGCUCUGAGAGAGAGCGAGGCGGAAUAUUUAGCUAUAACCUCGGAGAGCAAAGAUAAUUCUGUAGGUGUAGCGGUGGCAGAAUAACACAGGACCAAAAAAAGUCUCAAGUCAAAAGCUUGACGCUCUGUCCAUCAUGGCAUCACCAAUGGCCUCCUCGGUCACCCUCACCGGCUCUCUGUGAAACCACAGGGCUGCUGUUUUUACCGUUGUGUACGACUGUGACAGAACCGCCAUUCUAAACCAUCAGGGAAACACACAGUCACACAUUACAUAAAAAGGAAAUGUUUUGUUUUAAGGCUCUAGAUGACAACUUUGAGGUUAACGAAUGAAUGAUGCAUUCACUGGUUCAAGCAUGAAUCUGUAACACUUAACAGAACACUGAACUUGACUUGUACAUACGUGUUUGAGCUUUUAACAUCUCUUUGCUGUUUCCACAUAAUGAAAACUCAGCUUUACUUGGAUAAAACUGUCACCACAGUAUAUCUACUGAGCCAGAGGACAUCACAACAUAUUAUAAUGUGUAUAAAAAUCACUAGUAUAUUUACUGAGUCAGAGAGAAAAAAACAACACCAUAAGAACGGUCAAAUACAAUAUGUGAAAACAUAUCUAUUUAUAUCAUUAUUUAAAUAUCAAAAAUACAUAUCAAUAAAAAAUA
Sinocyclocheilus grahami is the source of this 698-nucleotide long non-coding RNA. RefSeq lists it as uncharacterized. NCBI's taxonomy places the organism in Eukaryota, Metazoa, Chordata, Actinopteri, Cypriniformes, Cyprinidae. The transcript has 3 exons. The record is from RefSeq and is a predicted model, not a curated record.